RNAcentral lists this microRNA precursor (131 nucleotides) under Vitis vinifera (wine grape). Its description in RNAcentral is "MIR845_2 microRNA precursor family". It matches the Rfam family "MIR845_2 microRNA precursor family". The record is from Rfam by way of RNAcentral. Lineage: Eukaryota; Viridiplantae; Streptophyta; Magnoliopsida; Vitales; Vitaceae.
AGAAUGCACAUUAAUUAUCCCUCGGGCCAUGGGAUAAACAAAAACCCUACAAAACCAAGUUAGCAUACCCUAGAAUGGUUCUAGCACAAUUACAAACCUAUGACUCUAAUACCAAUUGAUGGAAAAAAAAA